GGGAGUAUAGCCUAAUGGUUGAGGCACGCGGCUGUUAACCGCGCUACCUUGGUUCAAUUCCAAGUAUUCCCG
Molecule: transfer RNA, 72 nt
Filed under: Lachnospiraceae bacterium
Lineage: Bacteria; Bacillati; Bacillota; Clostridia; Lachnospirales; Lachnospiraceae
Description: tRNA-Asn
Rfam family: tRNA
About the family: Transfer RNA (tRNA) molecules are approximately 80 nucleotides in length.
Source: RNAcentral